Molecule: small RNA, 127 nt
Filed under: Marmota monax (woodchuck)
Lineage: Eukaryota; Metazoa; Chordata; Mammalia; Rodentia; Sciuridae
Source: RNAcentral
GCAGGGUAUGGUGGUGCAUACCUGUAAUCCCAGAAGCUUGGGAGGCUGAGGCAGGAGGAUUAUAAAUUCAAAGCCAGUCUCAGCAACUUAGUGAGGCCCUAAGCAACUUAAUGAGACCAUGUCUCCA